This 341-nucleotide unclassified non-coding RNA is filed under the name soil metagenome. RNAcentral describes it as "partial contains 5.8S ribosomal RNA, internal transcribed spacer 2, and large subunit ribosomal RNA". The stretch from base 1 to 120 matches the Rfam family "5.8S ribosomal RNA", at positions 35 to 154 of the family's 154-position model. The record is from RNAcentral.
GAUGAAGAACGUAGCGAAAUGCGAUAACUAAUGUGAAUUGCAGAAUUCAGUGAAUCAUCGAGUCUUUGAACGCACAUUGCGCCUCCUGGUAGUCCGGGGGGCAUGCCUGUCCGAGCGUCAUUGCUGCCCUCAAGCACGGCUUGUGUGUUGGGCUCCGUCCCCCCGGGGACGGGUCCGAAAGGCAGCGGCGGCACCGAGUCCGGUCCUCGAGCGUAUGGGGCUUUGUCACCCGCUCUGUAGGCCCGGCCGGCGCCAGCCGACAACCAAUCAUCCUUUUUUCAGGUUGACCUCGGAUCAGGUAGGGAUACCCGCUGAACUUAAGCAUAUCAAUAAGCGGAGGA